RNAcentral lists this long non-coding RNA (3130 nucleotides) under Homo sapiens (human). RNAcentral's name for it is "HSALNT0049247". Lineage: Eukaryota; Metazoa; Chordata; Mammalia; Primates; Hominidae. The record is from RNAcentral.
CAGAGCCAGGCACCCAUGCUUAGGCUCCUUCCCUGAAAAGCGGCAGGAGGGCUGACCUCACCAGAUCGUUUGGCUGAUUAGACCUAUUCGCAUAUUCAUAUGCAAAAAGUGCUGCCUCUGUCUUGCUGUUCACUGUCUCCGAGGCUGCAGAGGUGUGUCAGCAAGUCCUCUGGGUAAAAACCAGCUGGCUCCUGGGCCAUCAUGUGAAAGUCUGAUGAGGUAAUUCUCAGGAUACAGAUGGACGUCUGUGCUCUGAAGUUUAAUCCUCUCACCCAAGAUCAAAGAGAAAGUAAGUGCACAGCCAGAACUGAGCCCUGGUUUAUCUGUUGUCAAACCCACAUUCUUCACUGUGAAGCUAAUAUUUGCACAAAGUAAAGAAAUAAAAAAAGAGAUAAAUGAAAUUAAAAAGAUGUGAGAAGAAGAACACAGGCCACCGAGAGCUAACAUGUAGACAGUGGGUGCCUGUAACGUCAGGAACAGAACAAGUGGAAGAGAAGGGCAAGCACGUUCAGAAGGACCAGAGAAGAAAUCAUGCUCAAGCAAAGAAUUCAAUCUGCUGCUUGAAAGGCCACAUCAUAUUCCUGGAAAAUUUUAAUAACAAAAAUAAAUCCUAAGGUAUGUCUUGCUAGAAAUAUUUAACUCUAAGGAUUAAGAAAGAAUACUACAAGCUUUCAGGCAGAAGAAAAGGCUCAUGGCCUAAAGGAGGAAAAAUGCAGAGCAACAUGGACCUUAGACUUGUCCUCGACACAGCUCUAUCGCAGAAGCAAAUUUCACGGUAGCUUUAGGAGAACAUGAGAGUCCUAAUGUUUGUACCCAGUGAAGUUUUUCUUCAUGUAUAAAUUCAACAAAAAAUCAUAAUAAAAAGGUCAAUGAAUCCCUUCUGAAAAAACUAGUAAGCCAUAUUUGAAAUGACUGCAAAUGAAGACUUCAGACAAAGGGAAGGUAUCAUGACAGGGCUGGCGGUGAGCACUGACAUGUGGAACUGAGGGUAAACAACUCGAUAAUUCUACUUAUGCAAUGCUGUGAAGUCAAUCAUUUGAAGGAAAAGAUUGGGAAGUAAAAUUUUAAAAUACUGUCUAAUAUACAGAAACUAAAAUUCCUGGGUUUAUAAACAAAAGGAAGAAGUAGUACCAACAUCAAAUCAUCUAGUCUUUCCUCCACUGUUUUGAUGUAGCUUUGGUAGAAUUAUUUCAUUUUAAAAUUUUGUUCCUGAAGUUUUGAAAAGAAAAUGUAAUGCUAUCUAUCCAUGUUCUUAUAAAAUUAGUCACUAUGAGAAGUAAGGACAAAUUAUAUAGCUCUGAAACUAUCACAUUCUGAAAAAACACUGAACAGAAAACAAAAGAUACAAAAGAAAGAAAGAGAAAGUAUUUCAUUUUGACCAAAAAGAAUGAGGAGCACUGAUAACUUAAUAUGUGAAAAUCUAUUAACAUAAUUCACUCUGUUGACAGAUUUAUGAAGAAAACAUAUGGUCAUCUCAGUAGAUACAGGAAAAAAAUUCAAUUAAAUUUAAUACUCAUAUGUGAUCAAAUAACUCUUAGUAAACCAAUAAGCAAAUAAUCUUAACUUGAUUUUAAAAAGGCUCAACAAAAUUAGACAUCAUCUCGUUUGGGUGGUGAAACAUUAGAAGCAUUGUUUUGUUUUUUGAACAAAAAAGUUGUCUAUUACCAUUGUUUUAAUUGAUAAAUAUUAUAUUAAAAUUCUAGAAAGUAUCAGUCAAAGAAAAGAAUCCCUGCCUUAAACAAAUUCCAAAUGAGAUAAAAUAUACAGAGAGAAGAAUCAGAAAGAAACACAGAUAUUAUUUCCAGCAACAAUGAAUUAGAAAAUGUAAUUAUAAAGGUUUCUGCCAACCAUAAAGCAAAACUUACAAGUAUCUGGGAAUGCAUCUAACAUGAUGCAAGCCUGAUUUUUUAUUGAGAAAAUUAUAACACAAUUUGAAAAUGACUAAAUAAGUGGAAAUUUGUUCUGGAUUUACAAGUGGGAAGCCAACCUUAAAACAAUAUCAAGUCUCUCUGAUUUAACUUAUGAUAAAGUCCAUACAAUUCUAGUCAAAACCCUGCAGGGUUGUUAAUAAAACUUGACAUUAAUCUUUAUCAUAAAAUCCUUACGAAAGGGUAAAGGUCUAACGAUAGUGAAGCUAUGUCCUAAAGAAGGAUGUUGGCUGGGGAGACUGCCUGACCAUUUAUCCCGGCUUUAUAAGAUUACAGUAAUUAGAACAGGAUGACAUCAACACACGAGAUAAACAGAGACCAAGGAUACGGCUUUGAGGGCUCAGAAGCUGGUCCAUGUAUAUUUAGGUUAAAAAGUAAAGCUUUAAGAUUUGUAGGAGAAAGAACAGGGCAAUGGCCAAUGUUGGUAAAGAUGUGGAGGAAAGAUGACUCUUCUGCCCUGUGUUUAGAGGUUUGGGAAGGAGGAGGGGGACGUGUAAAUGGGACAAUUUAUUGGAAGACAGUUUGUCUCUUCUGGUGAAGCUGAUGAUGGCAAUACCCUAUAAUGCUACAUUUUACUAAUUCAGGAGAUAGUCCACAGAAAAUCUCACAUAUCAGGACUUUUAUUAAAGCGUUAUUUAUAAAAACGAAUAUUAGAAAAAAACCAAAAUGUCCAUACCUGGGAAAAUGGGUAAAUUCUGCCAUAUUUAUAAAAUACUACACAGUAAUUCUUCUGAAAAUUUAAGUCUUAAUAUGUCUACAUGGAGAACAGGAUGAGGACAGAAAUUUCAACUGUGUGAGUGACAGCAAUCCUUUGAGAAGAAAUAAUAUUCAGAGUAGAAACUGAAAACAGAGUUGAAUGACAUAACCAAUACGUUGACAACUGGCACCUGCAUUCCUCUUGGGGAGAAAUUUGUCUCUGUUUAGGGGGAAAGGGCUUAAUCAACUCAGAUUUAGAAGGAAGAACUCAGAUAAUAUAUUCUGGGGUAAAAGAUACCUGAAAGAGGGUGCCGCAUGGUAUUAAACUCUGAUUAAUUUAGGACCGACCGUGAGACAAUAGAAAAUGUUUACUUAAAAGCUGAAUAUUCCAGUUCAAAGAUUUUAAUAUUUGUAAAUUUUACAAGUAUCAUAUAUUACCUUUGUAAUUAAAAAAAUAAUUAUUAAGAAGUUUCGGGCCGGGCGCGGUGGCUCACGCCUGUAAUCCC